CAGCCGCCGCGGGAAUACGUAGGUGGCAAGCGUUGUCCGGAAUUAUUGGGCGUAAAGGGCUCGCAGGCGGUUUCUUAAGUCUGAUGUGAAAGCCCCCGGCUCAACCGGGGAGGGUCAUUGGAAACUGGGAAACUUGAGUGCAGAAGAGGAGAGUGGAAUUCCACGUGUAGCGGUGAAAUGCGUAGAGAUGUGGAGGAACACCAGUAGCGAAGGCGACUCUCUGGUCUGUAACUGACGCUGAGGAGCGAAAGCGUGGGGAGCGAACAGGAUUAGAUACCCCAGUAGUCCAUGUCUCUUAUAC
RNAcentral lists this ribosomal RNA (301 nucleotides) under uncultured bacterium. RNAcentral describes it as "partial 16S ribosomal RNA". It matches the Rfam family "Bacterial small subunit ribosomal RNA", at positions 509 to 807 of the family's 1533-position model. The record is from RNAcentral.